AUAUUGCACAAUGGGCGCAAGCCUGAUGCAGCCAUGCCGCGUGUAUGAAGAAGGCCUUCGGGUUGUAAAGUACUUUCAGCGGGGAGGAAGGCGAUAAGGUUAAUAACCUUGUCGAUUGACGUUACCCGCAGAAGAAGCACCGGCUAACUCCGUGCCAGCAGCCGCGGUAAUACGGAGGGUGCAAGCGUUAAUCGGAAUUACUGGGCGUAAAGCGCAAGCAGGCGGUCUGUAAAGUCGGAUGUGAAAUCCCCGGGCUCAAACUGGGAACUGCAUUCGAAACGGGCAGGCUAGAGUCUUGUAGAGGGGGGUAGAAUUACAGGUGUAGCGGCGAAAUGCGUAGAGAUCUGGAGGAAUACCGGUGGCGAAGGCGGCCCCCUGGACAAAGAAUGACGCUCAGGUGCGAAAGCGUGGGGAGCAAAC
This 420-nucleotide ribosomal RNA is filed under the name uncultured bacterium. RNAcentral's name for it is "bacterial SSU rRNA". It matches the Rfam family "Bacterial small subunit ribosomal RNA", at positions 361 to 773 of the family's 1533-position model. The record is from RNAcentral.